CAAGCCAUGGAAGCUGGGGGUGCCUGAAGUUCGUAACCGCAAGGAGCGACCUAAGGCAAAACCGGUGACUGGGGCUAAGUCGUAACAAGGUAGCCGUACCGGAAGGUGUGGCUGGAACACCUCCUUU
RNAcentral lists this ribosomal RNA (127 nucleotides) under Prevotellaceae bacterium. Its description in RNAcentral is "partial 16S ribosomal RNA". It matches the Rfam family "Bacterial small subunit ribosomal RNA", at positions 1398 to 1533 of the family's 1533-position model. The record is from RNAcentral. Lineage: Bacteria; Pseudomonadati; Bacteroidota; Bacteroidia; Bacteroidales; Prevotellaceae.